GGACGUAGUUCAGUUGGUUAGAACGCCGGCCUGUCACGUCGGAGGUCGCGGGUUCGAGAUCACUUACAGGUACUUCA
RNAcentral lists this transfer RNA (77 nucleotides) under Candidatus Sulfopaludibacter sp. SbA3. RNAcentral describes it as "Pseudo tRNA". Lineage: Bacteria; Pseudomonadati; Acidobacteriota; Terriglobia; Bryobacterales; Solibacteraceae. The record is from RNAcentral.